GAUGAACGCUAGCUACAGGCUUAACACAUGCAAGUCGCGGGGCAGCAUGGGGGUUGCUUGCAAUCCCCGAUGGCGACCGGCGCACGGGUGGGUAACGCGUAUCCAACCUGCCCUUCACCACGGGAUAACCCGGCGAAAGUCGGACUAAUACCGUAUGUUGUCCAUUGACGGCAUCCGAUUUGGACGAAAGGCUUGGCGGUGAGGGAUGGGGAUGCGUCCGAUUAGCCAGACGGCGGGGUAACGGCCCACCGUGGCUACGAUCGGUAGGGGUUCUGAGAGGAAGGUCCCCCACACUGGAACUGAGACACGGUCCAGACUCCUACGGGAGGCAGCAGUGAGGAAUAUUGGUCAAUGGGCGUAAGCCUGAACCAGCCAAGUAGCGUGCAGGAUGACGGCCCUAUGGGUUGUAAACUGCUUUUAUGCGGGGAUAAAGUGGCCCACGUGUGGGCUUUUGCAGGUACCGCAUGAAUAAGGACCGGCUAAUUCCGUG
RNAcentral lists this ribosomal RNA (490 nucleotides) under uncultured bacterium. RNAcentral's name for it is "partial 16S ribosomal RNA". It matches the Rfam family "Bacterial small subunit ribosomal RNA", at positions 28 to 507 of the family's 1533-position model. The record is from RNAcentral.